ACAUCCAGCGAACUUGGCAGAGAUGCCUUGGUGCCUUCGGGAACGCUGAGACAGGUGCUGCAUGGCUGUCGUCAGCUCGUGUUGUGAAAUGUUGGGUUAAGUCCCGCAACGAGCGCAACCCUUUAUCCUUUGUUGCCAGCGAUUCGGUCGGGAACUCAAAGGAGACUGCCGGUGAUAAACCGGAGGAAGGUGGGGAUGACGUCAAGUCAUCAUGGCCCUUACGAGUAGGGCUACACACGUGCUACAAUGGCGCAUACAAAGAGAAGCGACCUCGCGAGAGCAAGCGGACCUCAUAAAGUGCGUCGUAGUCCGGAUCGGAGUCUGCAACUCGACUCCGUGAAGUCGGAAUCGCUAGUAAUCGUGGAUCAGAAUGCCACGGUGAAUACGUUCCCGGGCCUUGUACACACCGCCCGUCACACCAUGGGAGUGGGUUGCAAAAGAAGUAGGUAGCUUAACCUUCGGGAGGGCGCUUACCACUUUGUGAUUCAUGACUGGGGUGAAGUCGUAACAAGGUAGGCGUAGCGAG
RNAcentral lists this ribosomal RNA (526 nucleotides) under uncultured bacterium. RNAcentral's name for it is "bacterial SSU rRNA". It matches the Rfam family "Bacterial small subunit ribosomal RNA", at positions 984 to 1509 of the family's 1533-position model. The record is from RNAcentral.